AACGAACGCUGGCGGCAUGCCUAACACAUGCAAGUCGAACGAGACCUUCGGGUCUAGUGGCGCACGGGUGCGUAACGCGUGGGAACCUGCCCUUAGGUUCGGAAUAACUCCCCGAAAGGGGUGCUAAUACCGGAUAAUGUCUUCGGACCAAAGAUUUAUCGCCUUUGGAUGGGCCCGCGUUGGAUUAGCUAGUUGGUAGGGUAAAAGCCUACCAAGGCGACGAUCCAUAGCUGGUCUGAGAGGAUGAUCAGCCACACUGGGACUGAGACACGGCCCAGACUCCUACGGGAGGCAGCAGUGGGGAAUAUUGGGCGAUGGGCGAAAGCCUGAUCAAGCAAUGCCGGGUGAGUGAGGAAGGCCUUAGGGUUGUAAAGCUCUUUUACCCGGGAUGAUAAUGACAGUACCGGGAGAAUAAGCUCCGGCUAACUCCGUG
RNAcentral lists this ribosomal RNA (433 nucleotides) under uncultured bacterium. RNAcentral describes it as "partial 16S ribosomal RNA". It matches the Rfam family "Bacterial small subunit ribosomal RNA", at positions 29 to 507 of the family's 1533-position model. The record is from RNAcentral.